RNAcentral lists this ribosomal RNA (399 nucleotides) under uncultured bacterium. Its description in RNAcentral is "partial 16S ribosomal RNA". The record is from RNAcentral.
UAACACAUGCAAGUCGAGGGAUGAUUAUCUACCUUGCUAGAUAUGAUUAUGGCGGACGGGUGAGUAAUAUUUAUGAAUCUGCCUACUAGUGGGGGAUACUCGGGGAAAGUCGAAUUACUACCUGCAUACUCACCCUACGCGCCUGAAAGGGGUGCGACAAGACUGCUUGGCGUACUUAGGAUCGACGCCGUAGAAUCAGGAUUUACGCUAGCGUUGGGUGCGGUGUAUAUAGGUCCCGACCGAAGGCUGAUUGUAUCCUUGAUAAUCUCGGUAUUUGCAGUACCGCACUCCACCACCUCCACCUACCUGUGAAUCGUGGAUGAGGAAUGUGUGCAUGGGAUCUCCAUAUCGGCGGACGUGCGAAGCGGAGUCGGGGCGUACCAUAGUAUGCACCUCAGU